Molecule: ribosomal RNA, 608 nt
Filed under: uncultured bacterium
Lineage: Bacteria
Description: bacterial SSU rRNA
Rfam family: Bacterial small subunit ribosomal RNA
Source: RNAcentral
GCAAGAUUAAAACUCAAAGGAAUAGACGGGGACCCGCACAAGCGGUGGAGCAUGUGGUUUAAUUCGACGAUACGCGAAGAACCUUACCUGGCCUUGACAUAGAAAGAACUUUCCAGAGACGGAUUGGUGCUAGUUUACUAGAGCUUUCAUACAGGUGCUGCACGGCUGUCGUCAGCUCGUGUCGUGAGAUGUUGGGUUAAGUCCCGCAACGAGCGCAACCCUCGUGUUUAGUUACUAACAGUUCGGCUGAGGACUCUAGACAGACUGCCUGGGUAACCAGGAGGAAGGUGAGGACGACGUCAAGUCAUCAUGGCCCUUACGGCCAGGGCUACACACGUGCUACAAUGGGGUAUACAAAGAGCCGCAAUACCGCGAGGUGGAGCAAAUCUCAUAAAAUAUCUCCCAGUUCGGAUAGCAGUCUGCAACUCGACUGCUUGAAGUUGGAAUCGCUAGUAAUCGUGAAUCAGCAACGUCACGGUGAAUACGUUCCCGGGUCUUGUACUCACCGCCCGUCACACCAUGGGAAUUGAAUUCAUUCGAAGCGGGGAUGCUAAAAUAGCUACCUUCCACAGUGGAUUUAGUGACUAGGGUGAAGUCGUAACAAGGUA